This 378-nucleotide unclassified non-coding RNA is filed under the name uncultured Cellvibrionales bacterium. RNAcentral describes it as "contains 16S-23S intergenic spacer region". Lineage: Bacteria; Pseudomonadati; Pseudomonadota; Gammaproteobacteria; Cellvibrionales. The record is from RNAcentral.
UCCGGUUUGUCACCGGCAGUCUCCUUAGAGUUCCCAGCAUAACCUGAUGGCAACUAAGGACAAGGGUUGCGCUCGUUACGGGACUUAACCCAACAUCUCACGACACGAGCUGACGACAGCCAUGCAGCACCUGUCACUGAGCUCCCGAAGGCACCAAUCUAUCUCUAGAAAGUUCUCAGGAUGUCAAGAGUAGGUAAGGUUCUUCGCGUUGCGUCGAAUUAAACCACAUGCUCCACCGCUUGUGCGGGCCCCCGUCAAUUCAUUUGAGUUUUAACCUUGCGGCCGUACUCCCCAGGCGGUCUACUUAGUGCGUUAGCUGCGCCACCAAAACCUCAAGGGUCCCGACGGCUAGUAGACAUCGUUUACGGCGUGGACUAC